UGGGGAAUUUUGGACAAUGGGCGAAAGCCUGAUCCAGCAAUGCCGCGUGUGUGAAGAAGGCCUUCGGGUUGUAAAGCACUUUUGUCCGGAAAGAAAUCCUUGGCUCUAAUACAGUCGGGGGAUGACGGUACCGGAAGAAUAAGCACCGGCUAACUACGUGCCAGCAGCCGCGGUAAUACGUAGGGUGCAAGCGUUAAUCGGAAUUACUGGGCGUAAAGCGUGCGCAGGCGGUUUGCUAAGACCGAUGUGAAAUCCCCGGGCUCAACCUGGGAACUGCAUUGGUGACUGGCAGGCUAGAGUAUGGCAGAGGGGGGUAGAAUUCCACGUGUGGCAGUGAAAUGCGUAGAGAUGUGGAGGAAUACCGAUGGCGAAGGCAGCCCCCUGGGCCAAUACUGACGCUCAUGCACGAAAGCGUGGGGAGCAAACAGGAUUAGAUACCCUGGUAGUCCACGCCCUAAACGAUGUCAACUAGUUGUUGGGGAUUCAUUCCUUAGUAACGUAGCUAACGCGUGAAGUUGACCGCCUGGGGAGUACGGUCGCAAGAUUAAAACUCAAAGGAAUUGACGGGGUCAUAGCUGUUUCCU
Molecule: ribosomal RNA, 584 nt
Filed under: uncultured bacterium
Lineage: Bacteria
Description: partial 16S ribosomal RNA
Rfam family: Bacterial small subunit ribosomal RNA
Source: RNAcentral